UACGUAGGAUCCAAGCGUUGUCCGGAUUUACUGGGCGUAAAGGGUGCGCAGGCGGACUUGUUAGUCAGAGGUGAAAUCUCACGGCUCAACCGUGAAACUGCCUUUGAUACUGCAGGUCUUGAAUUGGGGAGAGAGUUGUGGAAUUCCGAGUGUAGCAGUGAAAUGUGUAGAUAUUCGGAAGAACACCAGUGGCGAAGGCAGCAACUUGGCCCCAGAUUGACGCUCAGGCACGAAGGCAUGGGGAUCAAACAGG
This 253-nucleotide ribosomal RNA is filed under the name uncultured bacterium. RNAcentral's name for it is "partial 16S ribosomal RNA". It matches the Rfam family "Bacterial small subunit ribosomal RNA", at positions 524 to 776 of the family's 1533-position model. The record is from RNAcentral.